AAUGAUUCUCCUGCCCCAGCCUCCUGAGUAGCUGGGAUUACAGGCAUGUGCCACCACGCCCAGCUAAUUUUGUAUUUUUAGUGGAGAUGGGGUUUCUCCAUGUUGGUCAGGCUGGUCUCAAACUCCCUACCUCAGGUAAUCCGCCUGCCUCGGCCUCCCAAAGUGCUAGGAUUACAGGCGUGAGACACCACGCCCAGCCCUCUCUUACUUUUAAUGUCCCCAUUAUUGUGGCUGAAGGGCUCAGAAGCCCUCUGCCUCUGAGUAGGACACCCUCCUCUCCUUCCCUCCCCUGCAGCUGGGUCUGGGCUGUCCUGUUCUGGCGUGAGUGGUUUCUUCUGGCCCUGCCUCUUUAUCUAGUAGAGUUCUGCCACUGAGUUUUCCCUGGGACAGCCACAUGGGCACAGCUGUCUCCCAGGCAGCACUAGGGGAGGAGAUCAGGCUCCCAGCUCCCCCAGCAUGACACAGAGCUGGUGGGAAUUUCAACAGGACUUUCUGAACGGUGAGGGACAACAGGGGCCCCAUGUCACUGUGGAGGCUGGCACUCUUAUAUAUUCAUGGGUCAAACCCACUGUAGUCUCUGAAGUCUGGCACAUGCUGUUGUACCUGAGUGUCACAGUCACAGGCUAAAUAAGCCCUUUUCUUUUACAACCUUCCCUUCAGUGAGGGCUGAGGGAAAUUCACAUCUUCUUGCUUUCCCCUCCUUCCCUUGAUUUCCCCAGGACAGCCAGCUCUUCUUGGCUUUUACUGCCCCGGAGAAGAUGCUUAGACAUACAGGCCUGCAUGUGUGCACCGCCCCCCACACAGUCACACAUUCACACACGCAUGCAUGUGCUCACACGCUCAUGCUCAUUAGCGCACACAUGCACACUCACAUUCACACAUGCACCUCCCACACAUU
This 898-nucleotide long non-coding RNA is filed under the name Homo sapiens (human). RNAcentral describes it as "HSALNT0197278". The record is from RNAcentral. Lineage: Eukaryota; Metazoa; Chordata; Mammalia; Primates; Hominidae.